UGCCAGCCGCCGCGGUAAUACGUAGGGGGCAAGCGUUGUUCGGAAUUACUGGGCGUAAAGCGCACGUAGGCGGAUUAGUAAGUUAGGGGUGAAAUCCCGGGGCUCAACCCCGGAACUGCCUCUAAUACUGCUAGUCUUGAGUUCGAGAGAGGUGAGUGGAAUUCCGAGUGUAGAGGUGAAAUUCGUAGAUAUUCGGAGGAACACCAGUGGCGAAGGCGGCUCACUGGCUCGAUAUUGACGCUGAGGCGCGAAGGCGUGGGUAGCGAACGGGAUUAGAUA
This 279-nucleotide ribosomal RNA is filed under the name uncultured bacterium. RNAcentral's name for it is "partial 16S ribosomal RNA". It matches the Rfam family "Bacterial small subunit ribosomal RNA", at positions 506 to 784 of the family's 1533-position model. The record is from RNAcentral.